Helicoverpa armigera (cotton bollworm) is the source of this 2194-nucleotide long non-coding RNA. RefSeq lists it as uncharacterized. The transcript has 3 exons. The record is from RefSeq and is a predicted model, not a curated record. Lineage: Eukaryota; Metazoa; Arthropoda; Insecta; Lepidoptera; Noctuidae.
UUAGUCACUUAUCUCUCUUUACAGUAAGUUACACUUAUUCAUUAGCAUUUUAGUAUUACUGUAAGCGUACGUAGCUAGUAACUUACAAUAGUAACACUUAGAAAUAAUAUAUCGCAAAAAAAAAACAAGACAAAAACAACAUUCAUAUCAUAUGAAAAAAAAUAAACAAAACAAGGAGUCAUCUCAUGACUUACGCGAAAUAAAUGUCAAAACUCUUACAAAGCUAAUAAUACUCGCACACCAAAGUAAACAGUAGAAAGAAUAUAUUAUAUGAAAUCAAAAAUAAACAUAACAGGAAGUCACCUCAUGAAUUACACGAAACAAAUGUCAAAACUCUUACAAAGCCAAUAAUACUCAGUUACCAAAGUAAACAGAGUGCCUAGUGCGAGUUUUGCAAGUUAACUUUUUCGAUGCGUAAAUUAUCAUACAACUUAAUUACGUAGUAUUCAUUUUUGACAUGUUUAUUUCAUAAAGGCUGUCAUCGGCACUUGGUCGUACUAUAAACGCGCUCACUUGCGAAAUAGUAUACGUCAUUAUCCGGAAAAAUGAAUGAACGUACUAUAUUCUAAUCAUGUGAUGUAGCAUACGACUCUUUACUUCAGCCAGGUUAUAAUUACGUAUCGAGUGCGUAAACUUACAAAACUCGGAAUCAGCACUCAGUAGAAAGAAUAUAUCGUAAGAAAUCAAAAAUAAACUUAACAAGGUCAUCUCAUGACUUACACGAAACAAAUGUCAAAACUCUUACAAAGCUAAUACUCGCACACCAAAGUAAAGAGUAGUAAUAAUAUAAUAAAUGAAAUUAAAAAUAAACAAAACAAGAAGUGAUCUCAUGAAUUGCAUGAAACAAAUGUCAAAACUCUUAACAAGCUAAUAAUACUCAGAUACCAAAGUAAACAGAGUGCCUAGUGCGAGUUUUGCAAGUUAACUUUGUUGAUGCGUAAAUUAUCAUACAACUUAAUUACGUAGUAUUCAUUUUUGACAUGUUUAUUUCAUAAAGGCUGUCAUCGGCACUUGGUCGUACUAUAAACGCGCUCACUUGCGAAAUAGUAUACGUCAUUAUCCGGAAAAAUGAAUGAACGUACUAUAUUCUAAUCAUGUGACGUAGCAUACGACUCUUUACUUCAGCCAGGUUAUAAUUACGUAUCGAGUGCGUAAACUUACAAAACUCGGAAUCAGCACUCAGUAGAAAGAAUAUAUCGUAAGAAAUCAAAAAUAAACUUAACAAGGUCAUCUCAUGACUUACACGAAACAAAUGUCAAAACUCUUACAAGGCUAAUACUCGCACACCAAAGUAAAGAGUAGUAAUAAUAUAUUAAAUGAAAUCAAAAAUAAACAAAACAAGAAGUGAUCUCAUGAAUUGCAUGAAACAAAUGUCAAAACUCUUACAAAGCUAAUACUCGCACACCAAAGUAAACAGUAGAAAGAGAUAUCGUAUGAAAUCAAAAAUAAACAAAACAGGAAGUGAUCUCAUGAAUUACACGAAACAAAUGUCAAAACUCUUACAAAGCUAUUAAAUCCAUGACCGUUAUUUGAAGCUUACUAUUUGAGAUAGGCCCUUUCCGUUUUCCGGUUAUAUAUUUCCUUCUCCUUCACUCCUUUACGUCUGUCUCGCUCGCACACUCCCCACCAGGCAGGUCCGAGCUCAGUCGGAGGCUCGAAGGCAUAUCAUGAAUCAUUGGCGUCUUGUUUUCCGGCCAGUACGGUUGUCUUCACCAACAAACCGUAAAUAAAAGUAUCGCUGCGCGCGAUAAUUUAUUGUUAUAUAUAUAAAAUUAACGGUUUUACCGUUCGUUUUUUAAAUUCGAUUAAUAUAGCUGUUGUAAUUCGAAUUGAUUACUAAGAUACCUACCUAUCUUUUGGAAAGUUUUUACUUUCAGGAUGGAUGAUAUAGACAAUAAUACAUGUGUGACCGCUAUUAUUGAGGAGCCGCGACACGAUUUAUCGCGGGAUUGUGUACCAAAGCCAACUCAAUCCAGCUCUCGGAAACGUGCACGCUCAGUUAGAAGUUCAUCCAGUAGCAGCCACUCUUCGUCAAGUGAUACCACGGAUUCCACGUCCUCCUCCGACCGAAAGAAGAAACGUGGCCACAAAAGAAGGAGGGGCAAACACAGUCGUAAAUCACGAAAAGACGAUCGGCAGAUGCACAAGUUAUUUCGAGAGCUUAUCUGUGGACACAGAGCGGAAGUUUUACAAA